RNAcentral lists this unclassified non-coding RNA (204 nucleotides) under Hevea brasiliensis (rubber tree). Lineage: Eukaryota; Viridiplantae; Streptophyta; Magnoliopsida; Malpighiales; Euphorbiaceae. The record is from RNAcentral.
AAAUGGGGAGCGGCCGGUUCCCCGAGGAAGGUUUCGGAAAGGCUAGCUACUUCAAGAACAUACAGGUGGUCGACGAGUCGAACAAUCUGAGGGCACCGAAGGGGCUCGGGACCUUCACCGAGCAAUCCAAUUGCUAUGAUGUGCAGAAUGGCAAUAGUGGUGAUUGGGGAUACUACUUCUACUACGGAGGCCCUGGAAAGAACA